GACGAACGCUGGCGGCGUGCCUAAUACAUGCAAGUCGGGCGGAGCUUGCCUGGCGGAAGCCUUCGGGUGGAAGCCGGGUGAGCUUAGCGGCGGACGGGUGAGUAACACGUGGGCAACCUGCCCGGAAGACCGGGAUAACAUCCGGAAACGGAUGCUAUUACCGGAUAGGCGGAUCUUUCGCAUGAGGGGUUCGGGAAAGGCGGGGCGACCUGCCGCUUCCGGAUGGGCCCGCGGCGCAUUAGCUGGUUGGUAGGGUAACGGCCUACCAAGGCGACGAUGCGUAGCCGACCUGAGAGGGUGGCCGGCCACACUGGGACUGAGACACGGCCCAGACUCCUACGGGAGGCAGCAGUAGGGAAUCUUCCGCAAUGGGCGAAAGCCUGACGGAGCAACGCCGCGUGAGUGAGGAAGGUCUUCGGAUCGUAAAGCUCUGUUGCCAGGGAAGAAGUCUUGGGAGAGUAACUGCUCCCGAGGUGACGGUAC
This 483-nucleotide ribosomal RNA is filed under the name uncultured bacterium. Its description in RNAcentral is "bacterial SSU rRNA". It matches the Rfam family "Bacterial small subunit ribosomal RNA", at positions 28 to 478 of the family's 1533-position model. The record is from RNAcentral.